GUGGAUUAGUGACGAACGGGUGAGUAACACGUGGGCAAUCUGCCCUUCACUCUGGGACAAGCCCUGGAAACGGGGUCUAAUACCGGAUAACACUCCUGCCUGCAUGGGUGGGGGUUAAAAGCUCCGGCGGUGAAGGAUGAGCCCGCGGCCUAUCAGCUUGUUGGUGGGGUAAUGGCCUACCAAGGAGACGACGGGUAGCCAGCCUGAGAGGGCGACCGGCCACACUGGGACUGAGACACGGCCCAGACUCCUACGGGAGGCAGCAAUGGGGAAUAUUGCACAAUGGGCGAAAGCCUGAUG
This 300-nucleotide ribosomal RNA is filed under the name Streptomyces sp. RNAcentral's name for it is "bacterial SSU rRNA". It matches the Rfam family "Bacterial small subunit ribosomal RNA", at positions 87 to 388 of the family's 1533-position model. The record is from RNAcentral. Lineage: Bacteria; Bacillati; Actinomycetota; Actinomycetes; Kitasatosporales; Streptomycetaceae.